Molecule: ribosomal RNA, 248 nt
Filed under: uncultured soil bacterium
Lineage: Bacteria
Description: partial 16S ribosomal RNA
Rfam family: Bacterial small subunit ribosomal RNA
Source: RNAcentral
AGAACGAACGCUGGCGGCAUGCCUAAUACAUGCAAGUCGAACGAACUCUUCGGAGUUAGUGGCGCACGGGUGCGUAACGCGUGGGAAUCUGCCCCUUGGUUCGGAAUAACAGUUGGAAACGACUGCUAAUACCGGAUGAUGACGAAAGUCCAAAGAUUUAUCGCCAAGGGAUGAGCCCGCGUAGGAUUAGCUAGUUGGUAGAGGUAAGCUCACCGAGACAACGAUCCUAGCUGUCUGAGAGGAUAGAU